GCCGUGGCUCAGUUACAGAGCAUCUGUAUGGCAUGCAGAGGAUCUCAGGUUCAAUUCCUGACAUCUCCA
RNAcentral lists this transfer RNA (69 nucleotides) under Sphaerodactylus townsendi. RNAcentral's name for it is "tRNA-Ala". It matches the Rfam family "tRNA". Rfam says of the family: Transfer RNA (tRNA) molecules are approximately 80 nucleotides in length. The record is from RNAcentral. Lineage: Eukaryota; Metazoa; Chordata; Lepidosauria; Squamata; Sphaerodactylidae.